RNAcentral lists this ribosomal RNA (526 nucleotides) under Halomonas eurihalina. RNAcentral's name for it is "bacterial SSU rRNA". It matches the Rfam family "Bacterial small subunit ribosomal RNA", at positions 72 to 592 of the family's 1533-position model. Lineage: Bacteria; Pseudomonadati; Pseudomonadota; Gammaproteobacteria; Oceanospirillales; Halomonadaceae. The record is from RNAcentral.
AUCCUAGCUUGCUAGGAGGCGUCGAGCGGCGGACGGGUGAGUAAUGCAUAGGAAUCUGCCCGGUAGUGGGGGAUAACUUGAGGAAACUCAAGCUAAUACCGCAUACGCCCUACGGGGGAAAGCAGGGGCUCUUCGGACCUUGCGCUAUUGGAUGAGCUUAUGUCGGAUUAGCUAGUUGGUGAGGUAAUGGCUCACCAAGGCGACGAUCCGUAGCUGGUCUGAGAGGAUGAUCAGCCACAUCGGGACUGAGACACGGCCCGAACUCCUACGGGAGGCAGCAGUGGGGAAUAUUGGACAAUGGGGGCAACCCUGAUCCAGCCAUGCCGCGUGUGUGAAGAAGGCCCUCGGGUUGUAAAGCACUUUCAGUGAGGAAGAACGCCUGUCGGUUAAUACCCGGCAGGGGAGACAUCACUCACAGAAGAAGCACCGGCUAACUCCGUGCCAGCAGCCGCGGUAAUACGGAGGGUGCGAGCGUUAAUCGGAAUUACUGGGCGUAAAGCGUGCGUAGGCGGCUUGGUAAGCCGGU